Molecule: ribosomal RNA, 482 nt
Filed under: Coriobacteriaceae bacterium
Lineage: Bacteria; Bacillati; Actinomycetota; Coriobacteriia; Coriobacteriales; Coriobacteriaceae
Description: bacterial SSU rRNA
Rfam family: Bacterial small subunit ribosomal RNA
Source: RNAcentral
GUCGUCAGCUCGUGUCGUGAGAUGUUGGGUUAAGUCCCGCAACGAGCGCAACCCCCGUCCCGUGUUGCCAGCAUUUAGUUGGGCACCCACGGGAGACCGCCGGCGUCAAGCCGGAGGAGGGCGGGGACGACGUCAAGUCAUCAUGCCCCUUAUGCCCUGGGCUGCACACGUGCUACAAUGGCCGGUACAGCGGGAUGCGACGCCGCGAGGCGAAGCGGACCCCUUAAAGCCGGCCCCAGUUCGGAUCGCGGGCUGCAACCCGCCUGCGUGAAGCCGGAGUUGCUAGUAAUCGCGGAUCAGCAUGCCGCGGUGAAUGCGUUCCCGGGCCUUGUACACACCGCCCGUCACACCACCCGAGUCGUCUGCACCCGAAGCCGCCGGCCCAACCUUUCAGGGGGGAGGCGUCGAAGGUGUGGAGGGUGAGGGGGGUGAAGUCGUAACAAGGUAGCCGUACGGGAACGUGCGGCUGGAUCACCUCCUUU